Homo sapiens (human) is the source of this 1731-nucleotide long non-coding RNA. NCBI's taxonomy places the organism in Eukaryota, Metazoa, Chordata, Mammalia, Primates, Hominidae. The record is from Ensembl.
GACUUCUGCACCUCAUCUCUGGGAUGGUUUCAGUGGGUCCUAGAUUGCUUUCUGUGCUCCCUGGGACAGUUGGUGGCACUCUGUGAGACUACUCUGAGGUACCCUUACAAGCUACUCUUAAUUUUCCCCGCUGUUCUGCUUGUUGGACAUGGCAUCAUGCUGCAAUGUUAACAGUCUUUCAAAGCUAAGCGCGGAGGAUGUGAUUCCAUCCCUGGCAGUUCUUAGAUUCCCUACCAGUCCUUUCCAUCAUGGGCUCCUGUGGAAAAUGACCCCAGCUCAGCUCAGUAGUUGAUGGGACAUCUGAUUCAGGUUGGACCCAGCCCAGACAUCUGAUUCAAACAAUAUUCUUCUCCAGGAAUUUUGUAACCAGCACUGGUAAAGGGAGGGAAGUGCUCCCCAGUGGGGAGAGCUGCAGAAUGUGAGACUUGGAAACCAAAGGCCGCCAUGUUUUCUGUCUCAUGAUGGAAUCCAAUCUUCUUUGGCGGGGAAAAUAAAUGAAGCCAACACCAGUAGGUAUAAGAGAGAUACAGAGUUGUAGCUGUGUCAAAACUCUGUUUCCCCUUGUUCUUGAAGUCCAUAUAUGUGUUUGCCCUGUCUAUGAUUCAGUUUGAUUGUAUGCCCUGCCCUUUUCUUUGAUCAUAUGGGAUGCCCCAAUGUGGUCUUUUUAGCAAAUUCCCCUCUUUUAUUGCCAACUACAUAGAGCUGUUUUAGUUCCUUGGUGUAUGUAUUCAAUUGUAUUAUUGUCACUAUUUUUCACUCCUUCCUUUGAACAAAAUAUUUAUUUAUACACUUCACCAUAUGACUUGCCUUCUUUCUGAUACGGAAUGCACAUCCCUGCUCCAUUGACUUUGAGCUUAGCCAUAUGAUUCAUGUAGGUCAAAUGUCAUGUCAGAAAUGAUGGGGUGGCAGUUUGAGCAGAAUCUUCAAGAAGCAGUAUGCAUUUCUACCACUAUUCUUGCAUUUCUCCCCUCCCUCAUAAGGACAACAUAUAUCAAGCAGGGGCCAUUGCUCCAGCCUGACUCCAGGAAUCAGCAGACAGCGCAGCCUCAUUCUCCACCUGCUCCCUGCAGUACAGCCUCAGAACCACACAGUUGCAGCCAACCAGCUCCUGACAUGGAACUUGAGCAACAAAUGCCCUUUGUUUUUGCAAGUCCCUGAGAUUUGGAAGUUGUUACACAGCAUUCUCUCAGCCAGAAGUGACUGACAUGGUAUCAUUGCAGUCUUGAUCAAUUUGCCCUAUGCAAAGUGUUUUUAUAUGCCAUGAAUUUCUGAAGAUAGAACUACUGUUAUUCCCCAUGCAGCAGCUGAGGAAACUGAGUCUUAGAAUGUAUAAACAACUUUCCCAAGGCUACUGAAAGUGAUGGGAAUCAAAUAUAUCUUUGCCUAACUCCAGAUCCCAUGCUUUUGAAGAUAUUUAUACUGCCUAAAGCUGUAACAGACUUUUCUAAUAGUCAUACAUGGCAUAUUUAGUUGCUCUCCAUGGGGAAAUAAUGACCUGACAUGGAAAAUAUUGGUGUACUUUAUUAUGAGAUUCUAAUAAGCAACCAUUAUACAUGUAUAUAAUAUAUACAUGCAACCUCUUAAGCUUAUGCCAUUCUGUAUGGAUGUUACUAGCUUGAAGAAAUUCUAAAGAGUAGGGAUAUUAAAAAUACUGAGCCAAUAAAGUAGGAUAAUUUUUUUAUUGUAGUCAAUUUUCAUUUAUAAUAUUAAAUUCUUGCACUCCCUUUCAAA